RNAcentral lists this small RNA (515 nucleotides) under Pongo abelii (Sumatran orangutan). RNAcentral describes it as "retained intron". The record is from RNAcentral. Lineage: Eukaryota; Metazoa; Chordata; Mammalia; Primates; Hominidae.
UCAUGUGUUAACCCUCUUUUCAUGGUGUUUCAGCUGCACUUAGUGCAUUGGAACGCAGUAAAAUUUGAAAACUUUGAGGAUGCAGCACUGGAAGAAAAUGGUUUGGCUGUGAUAGGAGUAUUUUUAAAGCUAGGCAAACAUCAUAAAGAGCUACAGAAAUUAGUGGAUACUUUGCCGUCAAUUAAGCAUAAGGUACUAUUUGUUUUCCUUAAUUACUUGAAAUAUACUUUUAUGUUUCAAUCUCAGAGCGGAGACAUUACCAAGGCACUUUGAAUUGGGAAGUUUAAUUAGGUGAACUGUAUUCAGCCUUAGAAGAAAACUUGCCAUUUAUGAUUCCAGGGGACAGAAGUCAUGAUUCUUCGGGUAGACAGUGAGCUUUCUGGUUUUGCUGCGGUGCCACUGAGGACUUGGGGACUCGGGAACAUAUUGCUGUCCCCUCCUCUGUUCCUGACACCGGCUCUUUCUAAGUCCUUGUGAACGCACCCAGAGCAGCCUUCUUUUCUGUAGCUGCCAUC